UGGGGAAUAUUGGACAAUGGGGGCAACCCUGAUCCAGCAAUGCCGCGUGUGUGAAGAAGGUCUUCGGAUUGUAAAGCACUUUCGACGGGGACGAUGAUGACGGUACCCGUAGAAGAAGCCCCGGCUAACUUCGUGCCAGCAGCCGCGGUAAUACGAAGGGGGCUAGCGUUGCUCGGAAUGACUGGGCGUAAAGGGCGUGUAGGCGGUUUACACAGUCAGAUGUGAAAUCCCCGGGCUUAACCUGGGAGCUGCAUUUGAUACGUGUAGACUAGAGUGUGAGAGAGGGUUGUGGAAUUCCCAGUGUAGAGGUGAAAUUCGUAGAUAUUGGGAAGAACACCGGUGGCGAAGGCGGCAACCUGGCUCAUGACUGACGCUGAGGCGCGAAAGCGUGGGGAGCAAACAGGAUUAGAUACCCUGGUAGUCCACGCCUGUAAACGAUGUGUGCUAGAUGUUGGGUAACUUUG
RNAcentral lists this ribosomal RNA (464 nucleotides) under uncultured bacterium. Its description in RNAcentral is "partial 16S ribosomal RNA". It matches the Rfam family "Bacterial small subunit ribosomal RNA", at positions 355 to 835 of the family's 1533-position model. The record is from RNAcentral.